Molecule: ribosomal RNA, 1186 nt
Filed under: Bacillus stratosphericus
Lineage: Bacteria; Bacillati; Bacillota; Bacilli; Caryophanales; Bacillaceae
Description: bacterial SSU rRNA
Rfam family: Bacterial small subunit ribosomal RNA
Source: RNAcentral
UCGAGCGGACAGAAGGGAGCUUGCUCCCGGAUGUUAGCGGCGGACGGGUGAGUAACACGUGGGUAACCUGCCUGUAAGACUGGGAUAACUCCGGGAAACCGGAGCUAAUACCGGAUAGUUCCUUGAACCGCAUGGUUCAAGGAUGAAAGACGGUUUCGGCUGUCACUUACAGAUGGACCCGCGGCGCAUUAGCUAGUUGGUGAGGUAACGGCUCACCAAGGCGACGAUGCGUAGCCGACCUGAGAGGGUGAUCGGCCACACUGGGACUGAGACACGGCCCAGACUCCUACGGGAGGCAGCAGUAGGGAAUCUUCCGCAAUGGACGAAAGUCUGACGGAGCAACGCCGCGUGAGUGAUGAAGGUUUUCGGAUCGUAAAGCUCUGUUGUUAGGGAAGAACAAGUGCAAGAGUAACUGCUUGCACCUUGACGGUACCUAACCAGAAAGCCACGGCUAACUACGUGCCAGCAGCCGCGGUAAUACGUAGGUGGCAAGCGUUGUCCGGAAUUAUUGGGCGUAAAGGGCUCGCAGGCGGUUUCUUAAGUCUGAUGUGAAAGCCCCCGGCUCAACCGGGGAGGGUCAUUGGAAACUGGGAAACUUGAGUGCAGAAGAGGAGAGUGGAAUUCCACGUGUAGCGGUGAAAUGCGUAGAGAUGUGGAGGAACACCAGUGGCGAAGGCGACUCUCUGGUCUGUAACUGACGCUGAGGAGCGAAAGCGUGGGGAGCGAACAGGAUUAGAUACCCUGGUAGUCCACGCCGUAAACGAUGAGUGCUAAGUGUUAGGGGGUUUCCGCCCCUUAGUGCUGCAGCUAACGCAUUAAGCACUCCGCCUGGGGAGUACGGUCGCAAGACUGAAACUCAAAGGAAUUGACGGGGGCCCGCACAAGCGGUGGAGCAUGUGGUUUAAUUCGAAGCAACGCGAAGAACCUUACCAGGUCUUGACAUCCUCUGACAACCCUAGAGAUAGGGCUUUCCCUUCGGGGACAGAGUGACAGGUGGUGCAUGGUUGUCGUCAGCUCGUGUCGUGAGAUGUUGGGUUAAGUCCCGCAACGAGCGCAACCCUUGAUCUUAGUUGCCAGCAUUUAGUUGGGCACUCUAAGGUGACUGCCGGUGACAAACCGGAGGAAGGUGGGGAUGACGUCAAAUCAUCAUGCCCCUUAUGACCUGGGCUACACACGGGCUACAAUG